This 205-nucleotide ribosomal RNA is filed under the name uncultured bacterium. RNAcentral describes it as "partial 16S ribosomal RNA". It matches the Rfam family "Bacterial small subunit ribosomal RNA", at positions 570 to 774 of the family's 1533-position model. The record is from RNAcentral.
CGUAGGCGGCCCAUUAAGUCAACUGUGAAAUCUCCCGGCUUAACUGGGAGAGGUCGGUUGAUACUGGUGGGCUUGAGGGCAGCAGAGGAAGGUGGAAUUCCCGGUGUAGCGGUGAAAUGCGUAGAGAUCGGGAGGAACACCAGUGGCGAAGGCGGCCUUCUGGGCUGUUUCUGACGCUGAGGCGCGAGAGCGUGGGGAGCAAACA